AUUUACUUAAUAUAGAAUGGCUAUGUUGGUUAUCCAGGUGGAUCUAUAGUUUUCCUGGUGUCUUGGAGAGACCCUACCUCCACAGCUCCUGCAGGAGCAAAACCAUGUUUUCUGCCAUGUGAGCUCUCUACACUGGCCACAGCUGAUUGUACCAAGGUUCAGUACCCGACCCAAAGAGACUCAUUUUCAGGCCAGAGGGCGGCCUAAGGAAUGAAAGUGUACCUAGCAGUGGUAUUCUUGUUUGAUGGUACCUGGCCCCACCAAUCACGGCCCUCUUUUAGGGAGUUUGAACACCAGAAAGUAAAUGAUGAAUAGGAAGCACAGCCAGAAUAGACACAGUCACCGUAAUGGUGACUCUGAGAACAGUGACAGCAGUUACUUCUGCAGUCAAGACAAUUUGAGGUCUUGUUGAUUCACCAUUCUGCUCUUAGCUUACUGGAGAAAUACUUGACUCCUGAACAAUGAGUCUGGACUUUGUAGUUCCUGGGUUGCUUUUUUUUUUUCUUCCUUUCUUAUGUAUUGACAUAAAUAAACUCA
This 537-nucleotide long non-coding RNA is filed under the name Homo sapiens (human). RNAcentral's name for it is "HSALNT0024937". The record is from RNAcentral. Lineage: Eukaryota; Metazoa; Chordata; Mammalia; Primates; Hominidae.